UACGAAGGGGGCUAGCGUUGUUCGGAUUUACUGGGCGUAAAGCGCACGUAGGCGGACAUUUAAGUCAGGGGUGAAAUCCUGGAGCUCAACUCCAGAACUGCCUUUGAUACUGAAGAUCUUGAGUUCGGGAGAGGUGAGUGGAACUGCGAGUGUAGAGGUGAAAUUCGUAGAUAUUCGCAAGAACACCAGUGGCGAAGGCGGCUCACUGGCCCGAUACUGACGCUGAUGCACGAAAGCGUGGGGAGCAAACAGG
Molecule: ribosomal RNA, 253 nt
Filed under: uncultured prokaryote
Description: partial 16S ribosomal RNA
Rfam family: Bacterial small subunit ribosomal RNA
Source: RNAcentral